This 220-nucleotide ribosomal RNA is filed under the name uncultured bacterium. RNAcentral describes it as "partial 16S ribosomal RNA". It matches the Rfam family "Bacterial small subunit ribosomal RNA", at positions 111 to 334 of the family's 1533-position model. The record is from RNAcentral.
UAAUGUCUGGGAAACUGCCUGAUGGAGGGGGAUAACUGCUGGAAACGGUAGCUAAUACCGCAUAACGUCGCAAGACCAAAGAGGGGGACCUUCGGGCCUCAUGCCAUCAGAUGUGCCCAGAUGGGAUUAGCUAGUAGGUGGGGUAACGGCUCACCUAGGCGACGAUCCCUAGCUGGUCUGAGAGGAUGACCAGCCACACUGGAACUGAGACACGGUCCAG